GGUGGCGUGUCCGAGCGGCCGAAGGUUCUCGACUCGAAAUCGAGUGUGGGUAAAACCACCGAGGGUUCAAAUCCCUCCGCCACCG
RNAcentral lists this transfer RNA (85 nucleotides) under Corynebacterium sp. RNAcentral's name for it is "tRNA-Ser". It matches the Rfam family "tRNA". Rfam says of the family: Transfer RNA (tRNA) molecules are approximately 80 nucleotides in length. Their secondary structure includes four short double-helical elements and three loops (D, anti-codon, and T loops). The record is from RNAcentral. RNAcentral also lists the same sequence under 2 other names. Lineage: Bacteria; Bacillati; Actinomycetota; Actinomycetes; Mycobacteriales; Corynebacteriaceae.